GGUACAGCUAUGGGGCAGAGCUGUGGGGCAGGGAGAGCUGUGGGGCACGGAUCUAUGGGGCAGAGCCGUGGGGCAGAGCUGUGGGUCUGGCUGGAGCUAUAGGGCAGAGUACAGCUAUGGGGCACGGAUCUAUGGGGCAGGGAGAGCUGUGGGGCACAGAUCUAUGGGGCAGAGUUGUUGGGCAGAGCUGUGGGGCCGGCUGUAGCUAUACGGCAGAGUACAGCUGUGGGGCAGAGCUGUGGGGCACAGAUCUAUGGGGCAGGGAGAGCUGUGGGGCACAGAUCUAUGGGGCAGAGCUGUGGGGCAGAGCUGUGGGUCCGGCUGUAGCUAUAGGGCAGGGAGAGCUAUGGGGCACAGAUCUAUGGGGCAGAGCGAGCUGUGGGGUACAGAUCUAUGGGGCAGAGCUGUGGGUCCGGCUGUAGCUAUAGGGCAGGGAGAGCUAUGGGGCACCGAUCUAUGGGGCAGGGAGAGCUGUGGGGCAGAGCUGUGGGGCACAGAUCUAUGGGGCACAGCUAUGGAGCAGAGCUAUGGGGCAGAGCCGUGGGGCAGAGCUGUGGGUCUGGCUGUAGCUAUAGGGCAGGGAGGGCUGUGGGGCACAGAUCUAUGGGGCAGGGAGAGCUAUGGGGCAGAGCUGUGGGGCAGGGAGAGCUGUGGGUCCAGCUGUAGCUAUAGGGCAGGGUACAGCUAUGGGGCACAGAUCUAUGGGGCAGGGAGAGCUGUGGGGUACAGAUCUAUGGGGCAGAGCUAUGGGGCAGAGCCAGGGGGCAGAGCUGUGGGUCCGGCUGUAGCUAUGGGGCUGAGUACAGCUAUGGGGCACGGAUCUAUGGGGCAGAGCUGUGGGGCAGGGAGAGCUGUGGGUCCAGCUGUAGCUAUAGGGCUGGUACAGCUAUGGGGCAGAGCCGUGGGGCAGAGCUGUGGGGCAGAGCUGUGGGGCACAGACCUAUGGGGCAGAGCUGUGGGGCAGGGAGAGCUGUGGGUCCGGCUGUAGCUAUAGGAGUAGGUACAGCUGUGGGGCACAGAUCUAUGGGGCAGGCAGAGCUAUGGGGCAGAGCUGUGGGGUAGAGCU
Molecule: long non-coding RNA, 1066 nt
Filed under: Numida meleagris (helmeted guineafowl)
Lineage: Eukaryota; Metazoa; Chordata; Aves; Galliformes; Numididae
Description: lncRNA (ENSNMEG00000001072.1)
Source: RNAcentral